GCCCUAGUGGCGGAAUUGGUAGACGCAGUCGACUCAAAAUCGACCGCCGAAAGGCUUGCUGGUUCGAGUCCGGCCUGGGGCACCA
This 85-nucleotide transfer RNA is filed under the name Magnetospirillum sp. Its description in RNAcentral is "tRNA-Leu". It matches the Rfam family "tRNA". Rfam says of the family: Transfer RNA (tRNA) molecules are approximately 80 nucleotides in length. Their secondary structure includes four short double-helical elements and three loops (D, anti-codon, and T loops). RNAcentral also lists the same sequence under 4 other names. The record is from RNAcentral. Lineage: Bacteria; Pseudomonadati; Pseudomonadota; Alphaproteobacteria; Rhodospirillales; Rhodospirillaceae.